Molecule: long non-coding RNA, 757 nt
Organism: Peromyscus eremicus (cactus mouse)
Lineage: Eukaryota; Metazoa; Chordata; Mammalia; Rodentia; Cricetidae
Exons: 4
Source: RefSeq, a predicted model, not a curated record
AGCCUUUACCUUGGCAAUGAGCUAUUAUGUGAGGUAACAGAGGCUUGACCACACCUCUGUCCAGCUUAUUCCUCUGUGCCUGAGUGCAGCAUGAGGAACAGCCAUGCUUUCCCAAACUGUGCUGAGCACUCCGCCCCAGCACUGUGGAAGGCUUUCCCUGUGGGAACACCAUGAAAGAAGAGCAGAGAGGACCAGAGUGAGACAGUGUGUUCUGGACAAGAGCAGACCGCUGCACUGACGAACUCCCAGCAUCUGUGGCUGCCUCUAUAAGACCCGAACAAGAUCAAGCCCGUCACAUUCCAGCACAGAGGGUCGAGGGGCUCAUGUGCCCUCAUCACCAGCUGAGGAGGGGUGGAGAGUUGAUGGUUUCUGCUGAAGGGAGACGAUGAAGGAUAAUGGAAAUCACAUCGGUCUUGCUUAGAGUCAAAAGAUGAAUUUAGAUCUAAGUUCCGACACUAACCCACAGUGUGAUCAAGAGUAAAAGUUGCACCUCUGCUAAGCUGUUUCAUCUACUAAACAAAAGGCCUAGAUGUUAUCCCGAGGCCCUUCCAGUGUUAGCAUGUGAUGUCAAGUGGAGCGGAUCCAACAGCAGUGAUGGCAAAUUCCAGUGCAUACAGGAACCCAUGCACAUAACAGAAUUUUCUCCUUACAUCCUACUCACUCCACUGAAGGAGCAAGCCCAAAUGUGACGGAGGAGGCAGCAGUGAGUGAACUGGAAAAAGUACAUGGAUGCAAUAAAGAGAGCUAGUGAGUCUGA